This 80-nucleotide ribosomal RNA is filed under the name Tripos furca. RNAcentral's name for it is "partial 25S ribosomal RNA". Lineage: Eukaryota; Dinophyceae; Gonyaulacales; Ceratiaceae. The record is from RNAcentral.
ACAUGAUAUCAAGCAAACCAACCCGCUGAACUUAAGCAUCGGUCGACUGCAGGGUACCGAGCUCGAAUUCCCUAUAGUGA